UUAAUUGAAACCAAGUAGGCGGUAUAUCCCUGUUAAUGAUAAAAUUGAGAAAUUCUCCAAUUAAG
Molecule: transfer RNA, 65 nt
Filed under: Polyphylla laticollis mandshurica
Lineage: Eukaryota; Metazoa; Arthropoda; Insecta; Coleoptera; Scarabaeidae
Description: tRNA-Asn
Source: RNAcentral